This 317-nucleotide ribosomal RNA is filed under the name uncultured bacterium. Its description in RNAcentral is "bacterial SSU rRNA". It matches the Rfam family "Bacterial small subunit ribosomal RNA", at positions 28 to 334 of the family's 1533-position model. The record is from RNAcentral.
GAUGAACGCGUAGCGGCAGGCCUAAUACAUGCAAGUCGGACGGGAUCGUAGGGAGUAGCUUGCUACGAACUAGUGAGAGUGGCGCACGGGUGCGUAACGCGUGAGCAACCUACCCAUAUCAGGGGGAUAGCCCGAAGAAAUUCGGAUUAACACCGCAUAACACAGCAACUUCGCAUGAAGUCACUGUUAAAUAUUUAUAGGAUAUGGAUGGGCUCGCGUGACAUUAGCUAGUUGGUAAGGUAACGGCUUACCAAGGCUACGAUGUCUAGGGGCUCUGAGAGGAGAAUCCCCCACACUGGUACUGAGACACGGACCAG